Non-coding RNA from Parastrongyloides trichosuri, 46 nucleotides. NCBI's taxonomy places the organism in Eukaryota, Metazoa, Nematoda, Chromadorea, Rhabditida, Strongyloididae. The record is from Rfam.
CCAACGGCCCUCUUUAGGGCCAAUAAUAUAACUUCUUUUAUCAAUU